RNAcentral lists this long non-coding RNA (250 nucleotides) under Malus domestica (apple). RNAcentral describes it as "long non-coding RNA (MDOM_LNC007628)". Lineage: Eukaryota; Viridiplantae; Streptophyta; Magnoliopsida; Rosales; Rosaceae. The record is from RNAcentral.
ACAACUGUCCUAAUCGAGACAUUUAAUUCAAAUUUCAAACCAAGGUAACUAAAUGUUUGCCAAACACAAAGUAAAUAUCUGAACUCAUCUAAGCACCUGACUAGGAUCUGGAUUGUUUACUAUUCUACUACUAACAUUAAAGGCAUCCAUCAGAGUCCUACUGAAAAUGACAGCGUGUUGAACAUGUUUUAUUUCUUUUCGGGGAAGAAAAAAGAGAACAAACCGGAUUUACCUAAAAUUGACAGCGUGG